Clupea harengus (Atlantic herring) is the source of this 543-nucleotide long non-coding RNA. The record is from Ensembl. NCBI's taxonomy places the organism in Eukaryota, Metazoa, Chordata, Actinopteri, Clupeiformes, Clupeidae.
AGACCUGAGGGGGCGGGUAAUUCAAAGAGUGAAGCUAGCCGGAUGCUUAAGGAAUCAACCGAGGCAAAUUAUCGACAUGGUGUCAAACCCCCGUAUCGGGGUGGAGUCGUUGCUGGUGACGGUCAUCAGAAAAGCACCAGCCCAGCAGAAGGCAGGGAGAGCCAGAGUCUGGCCGGGGAAGUGCUUCAGACUCUAGACAGAGAAGGCCUACAAGACAUAAAUGCAGUUGGAAAUUCCUCGUGGGGGAGAGCUGCGCGUCAUCGGAGUGCUACUUGGGAGCGUUCCUGGUGGAUGGACCAGCGCAGAACCGUCUCCACGCUUGAAAGUGACAAAGCGGGUCCCUGCCACACUGGCCGGUAGCGACUUGCUGUCUGGAUUGUAUACUGGAUUGGGAUGACUCCUCUUUGGUGUGGGUUGAUCUAUUGCAGUGUUUUUUUUUUUCUGUGGAUUCUAUAUGUGGGGCGUGGUUUAAGUAUUGCAAACUGAUAAUACCUUUUUGGGGGAAGGCAUGUAUCUUGCUUUUGUGUGGACAUUGUGUGGGGG